GAGCGGACCUUCUCCUGUUGGAGGGGAGGUUAGCGGCGGACGGGCGAGUAACACGUAGGCAACCUGCCCAUAAGACCGGGAUAACAUUCGGAAACGAAUGCUAAGACCGGAUACGCAAGUCUUAGGCAUCUAGGGCUUGGGAAACACGGAGCAAUCUGUGGCUUAUGGAUGGGCCUGCGGCGCAUUACCUAGUUGGUAAGGUAGCGGCCCACCAAGGCGACGAUGCGUAGCCGACCUGAGAGGGUGAACGGCCACACUGGGACUGAGACACGGCCCAGACUCCUACGGGAGGCAGCAGUAGGGAAUCUUCCACAAUGGGCGAAAGCCUGAUGGAGCAACGCCGCGUGAGUGAGGAAGGCUUUCGGGUCGUAAAGCUCUGUUGCCAGGGAAGAAUAAGGGCGAGUUAACUGCUCGUCCGAUGACGGUACCUGAGAAGAAAGCCCCGGCUAACUACGUGCCAGCAGCCGCGGUAAU
Molecule: ribosomal RNA, 474 nt
Filed under: uncultured bacterium
Lineage: Bacteria
Description: bacterial SSU rRNA
Rfam family: Bacterial small subunit ribosomal RNA
Source: RNAcentral